Molecule: long non-coding RNA, 605 nt
Filed under: Rattus norvegicus (Norway rat)
Lineage: Eukaryota; Metazoa; Chordata; Mammalia; Rodentia; Muridae
Description: long non-coding RNA NONRATT031117
Source: RNAcentral
CUCGCAGCUGCCAGACCUGCUCCUGCUGCUGCUCCGGGAGAGCACCUGGGGAAACUCUGGGGAAACUGUUUCUGACCACCGAGAAGAUGAUGAGCUCAAGUUAUUGGAGUGAGACCAGCAGCAGCAGUUGUGGGACCCAGCAGCCCACGGAGGUCCUGCAGUGCCAGCCUCAGCAUUACCACUGCUACCAUCAGUCAAGUCAAGCCCAGCAGCCUCCAGAAAAAAAUGUAGUGUAUGAGCGAGUGAGGACCUACAGUGGGCCUAUGAACAAGGUGGUGCAGGCCUUGGACCCCCUCGGCUCACGGGAAGUGCUCUCCCCUCUCAAACCAGCCUCCUCCUACCAAAAUUUGGUUUGGAGCGACCAUUCUCAGGAGCUCCAUUCUCCAACUCUGAAAAUAUCUACUUGUGCACCAAGCACUCUCCAUAUAACACAAAAUGCUGAACAGGAACUCCAUUCUCCAACAGUGAAAGUUACUACAUAUCCACAAACCACCAUUAGAAGAUACAUAGUACAAAAUCCUGACCAGGAACCAUUGUCCCCUUUCCUAAGAGGAGGUCAAUUCUUCCCAGGAAACAAUGUCAUUUAUGAAAAAACAAUAAGAAAA